GAUGAACGCUAGCGACAGGCUUAACACAUGCAAGUCGAGGGGCAGCGGGGAGGUAGCAAUACUUCCGCCGGCGACCGGCGCACGGGUGAGUAACACGUAUGGAACCUGCCCGUAGCAGGGGGAUAAGCGGAAGAAAUUCCGUCUAAUACCGCGUAAUAACUCCGAGGGGCAUCCCUUGGGGUUUAAAGGGUGACACCGGCUACGGAUGGCCAUGCGGCGCAUUAGCUAGUUGGCGGGGUAACGGCCCACCAAGGCGACGAUGCGUAGGGGUUCUGAGAGGAAGGUCCCCCACACUGGUACUGAGACACGGACCAGACUCCUACGGGAGGCAGCAGUGAGGAAUAUUGGUCAAUGGGCGCGAGCCUGAACCAGCCAAGUCGCGUGAGGGAAGACGGUCCUAUGGAUUGUAAACCUCUUUUGUCGGGGAGCAAAAGACGCCACGUGUGGCGUUCCGAGAGUACCCGAAGAAAAAGCAUCGGCUAACUCCGUGCCAGCAGCCGCGGUAAUACGGAGGAUGCGAGCGUUAUCCGGAUUUAUUGGGUUUAAAGGGUGCGCAGGCGGAAGAUCAAGUCAGCGGUAAAAUUGAGAGGCUCAACCUCUUCGAGCCGUUGAAACUGGUUUUCUUGAGUGAGCGAGAAGUAUGCGGAAUGCGUGGUGUAGCGGUGAAAUGCAUAGAUAUCACGCAGAACUCCGAUUGCGAAGGCAGCAUACCGGCGCUCAACUGACGCUCAUGCACGAAAGUGUGGGUAUCGAACAGGAUUAGAUACCCUGGUAGUCCACACAGUAAACGAUGAAUACUAAUUGUUCGGGGAGAAUGAUCCCUGAGUGAUACAGCGAAAGCGUUAAGUAUUCCACCUGGGGAGUACGCCGGCAACGGUGAAACUCAAAGGAAUUGACGGGGGCCCGCACAAGCGGAGGAACAUGUGGUUUAAUUCGAUGAUACGCGAGGAACCUUACCCGGGCUCAAACGACACAGGAAUACUUUUGAAAGGAGGUAGCUCUUAGGAGUCUGUGUCGAGGUGCUGCAUGGUUGUCGUCAGCUCGUGCCGUGAGGUGUCGGCUUAAGUGCCCAUAACGAGCGCAACCCCCAUCGCCAGUUACCAGCAAGUCAAGUUGGGGACUCUGGCGAGACUGCCGGCGCAAGCUGUGAGGAAGGCGGGGAUGACGUCAAAUCAGCACGGCCCUUACGUCCGGGGCGACACACGUGUUACAAUGGCAGGUACAGAGAGAAGCAAUGCGGCGACGCAAAGCGGAACUUGAAAGCCUGUCUCAGUUCGGAUUGGAGUCUGCAACUCGACUCCAUGAAGCUGGAUUCGCUAGUAAUCGCGCAUCAGCCAUGGCGCGGUGAAUACGUUCCCGGGCCUUGUACACACCGCCCGUCAAGCCAUGGAAGCCGGGAGUGCCUGAAGUGUGCAACCGCAAGGAGCGCCCUAAGGUAAAACUGGUGACUGGGGCU
RNAcentral lists this ribosomal RNA (1456 nucleotides) under uncultured bacterium. RNAcentral's name for it is "partial small subunit ribosomal RNA". It matches the Rfam family "Bacterial small subunit ribosomal RNA". The record is from RNAcentral.